GGGAAAUUGGUCAAGGUUUGGAGUACUUUUUUGAUAUUUUUUAGUGUUUUUAUCUUCACUUGGUGUCAGUGCCUAGCCUUACAUUUCCAUUUGUUUGAUUAAAUAGUCGAAAGGGAUUACGUUGCUACAGUUGUCAUGGAUUAGUUUUUGAAUCUAGAAUACGGCUCUAUGUUACCAUUUUCACUUCACUUGCAGUUUUCUUGUAUAUGAACUGUCUUAUUUUCUCUCUUUACACGUACCAGAACUACUGAAUUGUGGAACCUUCUUCAGUUUUUUACCAGGAAAAGGCCCAAAAGAUAUACCCCUAUCAUUUGUGAUGUAUUU
Molecule: unclassified non-coding RNA, 324 nt
Filed under: Hevea brasiliensis (rubber tree)
Lineage: Eukaryota; Viridiplantae; Streptophyta; Magnoliopsida; Malpighiales; Euphorbiaceae
Source: RNAcentral